AUUUUUUCCGUGUUGAUGUAGUGUACUCAGGUGAAUAUGAUAUUAUCAUAUUCACCUGAGUACACUACAUCAACACAGAAAAAAUUCAUAUUACUA
Molecule: non-coding RNA, 96 nt
Organism: Paramuricea clavata
Lineage: Eukaryota; Metazoa; Cnidaria; Anthozoa; Malacalcyonacea; Plexauridae
Source: the annotation of a GenBank genome assembly